This 427-nucleotide ribosomal RNA is filed under the name uncultured bacterium. RNAcentral's name for it is "partial 16S ribosomal RNA". It matches the Rfam family "Bacterial small subunit ribosomal RNA", at positions 355 to 774 of the family's 1533-position model. The record is from RNAcentral.
UGGGGAAUAUUGGACAAUGGGCGAAAGCCUGAUCCAGCCAUGCCGCGUGUGUGAAGAAGGUCUUCGGAUUGUAAAGCACUUUAAGUUGGGAGGAAGGGCAUUAACCUAAUACGUUAGUGUUUUGACUUUACCGACAGAAUAAGCACCGGCUAACUCUGUGCCAGCAGCCGCGGUAAUACAGAGGGUGCAAGCGUUAAUGGGAAUUACUGGGCGUAAAGCGCGCGUAGGUGGUUUGUUAAGUUGGAUGUGAAAUCCCCGGGCUCAACCUGGGAACUGCAUUCAAAACUGACUGACUAGAGUAUGGUAGAGGGUGGUGGAAUUUCCUGUGUAGCGGUGAAAUGCGUAGAUAUAGGAAGGAACACCAGUGGCGAAGGCGACCACCUGGACUAAUACUGACACUGAGGUGCGAAAGCGUGGGGAGCAAACA